This 112-nucleotide ribosomal RNA is filed under the name Periophthalmus magnuspinnatus. The record is from RNAcentral. Lineage: Eukaryota; Metazoa; Chordata; Actinopteri; Gobiiformes; Gobiidae.
CACUCAGACCUCCUUGUCAAAGCCUGAUCUUGUCAGAUCUCAGAAGCUAAGCAGGGUUGGGCCUCGUUAGUACUUAGAGGAAGCCCACUGUGAAUACCAGGUGGCACAGUGC